RNAcentral lists this transfer RNA (72 nucleotides) under Heterocephalus glaber (naked mole-rat). It matches the Rfam family "tRNA". From Rfam's summary of the family: Transfer RNA (tRNA) molecules are approximately 80 nucleotides in length. Their secondary structure includes four short double-helical elements and three loops (D, anti-codon, and T loops). Further hydrogen bonds mediate the characteristic L-shaped molecular structure. tRNAs have two regions of fundamental functional importance: the anti-codon, which is responsible for specific mRNA codon recognition, and the 3' end, to which the tRNAs corresponding amino acid is attached (by aminoacyl-tRNA synthetases). tRNAs cope with the degeneracy of the genetic code in two manners: having more than one tRNA (with a specific anti-codon) for a particular amino acid; and 'wobble' base-pairing, i.e. permitting non-standard base-pairing at the 3rd anti-codon position. The record is from Rfam by way of RNAcentral. Lineage: Eukaryota; Metazoa; Chordata; Mammalia; Rodentia; Bathyergidae.
GGAGAUGUAGCUCAGUGGCAUAGCGCCUGCCUGGCAGGCACAAGGUCCUGAGUUCGAUUCUCAGUAGCCCCC